Non-coding RNA from Odocoileus virginianus texanus, 375 nucleotides. The record is from RefSeq and is a predicted model, not a curated record. NCBI's taxonomy places the organism in Eukaryota, Metazoa, Chordata, Mammalia, Artiodactyla, Cervidae.
UCUCGCUCGCUGGUCAGUUGCUCAGCUGCCAUCUUAGUUACCAGAUCGACUGCUGAGGUAUCGCUGUGACAACCCUAUGUUCAGGACUCACAGCAGGACUAGUUUCUCAGCAAUGCUGCCGUGAGAAAUGUCCCUCAAGCAUGUGGCCAAGCCCUCUGCAGAUGACACCACUUAAUUCGAGCUUUUGAAGGCCACUGUCAUCAAUGAUGCAAAUACCAGGAAGCACAUAAACAUUUGGGAUUCCUUUCAAUAACCAAAGGCAAAACAUUGUAAAGAGAAGGUGAAUUGGAGGCAUGGUUUUGCCCAGUGAGAACCAGUGAGAGAAGGAGCCAUCAGGAAAAUCUUUCACUUUUCUUAGAAAAAGGUAAGGCACCC